This 383-nucleotide ribosomal RNA is filed under the name uncultured bacterium. RNAcentral describes it as "bacterial SSU rRNA". It matches the Rfam family "Bacterial small subunit ribosomal RNA", at positions 28 to 438 of the family's 1533-position model. The record is from RNAcentral.
GAUGAACGCUGGCGGCGUGCCUAACACAUGCAAGUCGAACGGGAAUCUUCGGAUUCUAGUGGCGGACGGGUGAGUAACGCGUAAGAAUCUAACUUCAGGACGGGGACAACAGUUGGAAACGACUGCUAUGACCCGAUGUGCCGCAAGGUGAAACCUAAUUGGCCUGAAGAAGAGCUUGCGUCUGAUUAGCUAGUUGGUGGGGUAAAGGCCUACCAAGGCGACGAUCAGUAGCUGGUCUGAGAGGAUGAGCAGCCACACUGGGACUGAGACACGGCCCAGACUCCUACGGGAGGCAGCAGUGGGGAAUUUUCCGCAAUGGGCGAAAGCCUGACGGAGCAACGCCGCGUGAGGGAGGAAGGUCUUUGGAUUGUAAACCUCUUUCU